UCUUUUCCUUCAGGUUUUGCCACUUUGC
This 28-nucleotide non-coding RNA is filed under the name Mus musculus (house mouse). The record is from RNAcentral. Lineage: Eukaryota; Metazoa; Chordata; Mammalia; Rodentia; Muridae. RNAcentral also lists the same sequence under 1 other name.